UUUCGAAAACAGCCACUAUUUAUGCACACAGGGGUCGUCAGACAUAACAAUUCACAAGAUGAUACAUCAGAAUCAGGCCUUUCUUCUAUGGGACGAAUACCGGGCUCUUAAUCAACCAAGUUUCGGGCAUAACAGUCACAUAUCGUAUAACGCUUCAAGAACAUACUCAGCCCUCGCUUGCUCGAAUCACUCCUUCUAAAGCAUCUAUUCACCUAGAUUCAAUAUUCGCACCAUAAACAUGCAUCAAACUGCGGCCACAA
Molecule: small RNA, 260 nt
Filed under: Cryptococcus neoformans H99
Lineage: Eukaryota; Fungi; Basidiomycota; Tremellomycetes; Tremellales; Cryptococcaceae
Description: Cryptococcus neoformans var. grubii H99 hypothetical RNA
Source: RNAcentral